GAUGAACGCUGGCGGCGUGCCUAACACAUGCAAGUCGAACGGGGGCCAGCGGCGGAAGGGGAUGGUUUACCAGACCCGGAAGGCGCGGGCCUUAGUGGCGGACGGGUGAGUAACGCGUGGGGAACCUGCCCCGUACCGGGGGAUAACACCUGGAAACAGGUGCUAAUACCGCAUAACAGAAGGGGACGCAUGUUCCUUUCUUGAAAACUCCGGUGGUACGGGAUGGACCCGCGUCUGAGUAGCUGGUUGGCGGGGUAACGGCCCACCAAGGCGACGAUCAGUAGCCGGCCUGAGAGGGCGGACGGCCACAUUGGGACUGAGACACGGCCCAA
This 332-nucleotide ribosomal RNA is filed under the name uncultured bacterium. Its description in RNAcentral is "bacterial SSU rRNA". It matches the Rfam family "Bacterial small subunit ribosomal RNA", at positions 28 to 334 of the family's 1533-position model. The record is from RNAcentral.